This is a long non-coding RNA of Ochotona princeps (American pika), 357 nucleotides long. RefSeq lists it as uncharacterized. Lineage: Eukaryota; Metazoa; Chordata; Mammalia; Lagomorpha; Ochotonidae. The record is from RefSeq and is a predicted model, not a curated record. The transcript is spliced from 3 exons.
GCGGCCGAGCCCCGCCCACUCCAAGAUGGCGGGUGAGUGGGGCCGGGCUCUCGUGGCGCCCGACGCGCCCGCCCCCUCCUCACGAGAGCGCCCGGCCAGGCGCGCAGCAGCCCCCAGCAGCUCCUUAUGUGUGUGUCUCUUGGUUUUGAGGGAUGACCCUGCACUUUCUGGACUUGCAGGAUGACUUACAUGAUUGUUGGAUAGGCGAGUUUCCAAGGUUACGACUGACAGCCAAAUAUCCCCAAAGACUGAUAACACCAGGAAGAAAGAUGCUAAGGGCAAUUUCGUCUUUUGGAAAUUCACAUCCGCCAUUCACGCACAGACCCAGUCAGUUCACGUGGACUGUGUCUCCAGUUC